AUCGGUAAGAGCUUGUUGUGAGAUGGAAGACUAGCAAAAUUCCCAUUGCUUCUCCAUGCUGUUGAAACGAAGGUGCAAUUCUCUGCUAAGCCAUAAGAUGGAGAAAUGCAUGAUGGGUUAAGCCCAAAAGGCUUAAACACAUAAAUAAACUCUUCAACUGACGCCUUGUAAAUUGGUUCGUUAAUGAUGAUUAAGUUUUUCAAACUCCAUAGACUUAUGGGUCGAUUUCCCUUUUCAACCCCACCGCGCUUGACAACAAGUGGCAAUGUGAACGAUGGAACUGGAGUGCAGGUAGCUUUGAACUCUGAUAUCAGCUCCAGCCAUAGCCUUGGCCUGGUAACAAAUGCUCCAGGUGAAGUUAGCACACAUGUAGCCCCUGAUAUAACAGUAAGCAAUAGAAACUGAAGGCCACAGUCAUGGUACUGAGGCAACCAAGAGACUAUAACACUGUUUGGAUGGAGGUCGUAGGCUUUCCUUGCCACUCUAACGUUGUGAGCAGCUGAUCCGGCAGUUACCAG
Molecule: unclassified non-coding RNA, 518 nt
Filed under: Hevea brasiliensis (rubber tree)
Lineage: Eukaryota; Viridiplantae; Streptophyta; Magnoliopsida; Malpighiales; Euphorbiaceae
Source: RNAcentral